UGUGUAGGUGGCAGUAUUAGUCUUCUGUUAAAGACCGGGGCUCAACCCCGGGAGUGCGGAGGAAACGGUACAGCUAGAGGGUAUGAGAGGUGUGCGGAACUCAUGGUGUAGGGGUGAAAUCCGUUGAUAUCAUGGGGAACACCAAAGGCGAAGGCAGCACACUGGCAUAUUCCUGACACUGAGACACGAAAGCGUGGGUAGCGAACG
This 207-nucleotide ribosomal RNA is filed under the name uncultured bacterium. RNAcentral describes it as "partial 16S ribosomal RNA". It matches the Rfam family "Bacterial small subunit ribosomal RNA", at positions 568 to 774 of the family's 1533-position model. The record is from RNAcentral.